This 460-nucleotide ribosomal RNA is filed under the name uncultured bacterium. RNAcentral's name for it is "partial 16S ribosomal RNA". It matches the Rfam family "Bacterial small subunit ribosomal RNA", at positions 338 to 795 of the family's 1533-position model. The record is from RNAcentral.
CCUACGGGAGGCAGCAGUGAGGAAUAUUGGUCAAUGGAGGCAACUCUGAACCAGCCAAGUAGCGUGCAGGAUGACGGCCCUAUGGGUUGUAAACUGCUUUUAUGCGGGGAUAAAUUGCGUUACGUGUAGCUCAUUGCAUGUACCGCAUGAAUAAGGACCGGCUAAUUCCGUGCCAGCAGCCGCGGUAAUACGGAAGGUCCGGGCGUUAUCCGGAUUUAUUGGGGUUAAAGGGAGGGCAGGCCGCCCGUCAAGCGUGUUGUGAAAUGUCCCGGCUCAACCCGGGCCCUGCAGCGCGAACUGGGGUGCGUGAGUGCGCGGGAGGUAGGCGGAAUUCGUGGUGUAGCGGUGAAAUGCUUAGAGAUGACGAAGAACGCCGAUUGCGAAGGCAGCCUGCCGUAGCGUAACUGACGCUGAGGCUCGAAAGUGCGGGUAUCGAACAGGAUUAGAUACCCGUGUAGUC